GCGGCCGCUCCGUUUGAUCCCGGCGGAGGUCACUGCUAUCGGUGUUCGAUUAAGCCAUGCGAGUCGAGAGGGGUCAUGCCCUCGGCGGACUGCUCAGUAACACGUGGACAACCUGCCCAAAAGUCUGGGAUAACCCCGGGAAACUGGGGAUAAUACCGGAUAGGUCAAAGAUGCUGGAAUGCUUUUUGGCCGAAACUUCAGGGGCUUUUGGAUGGGUCUGCGGCUGAUUAGGUUGUUGCCGGUGUAACGUACCGUCAAGCCAGUUAUCAGUACGGGUUGUGGGAGCAAGAGCCCGGAGAUGGAUUCUGAGACACGAAUCCAGGCCCUACGGGGCGCAGCAGGCGCGAAAACUCUACAAUGCAGGCAACUGCGAUAGGGGAACAUCGAGUGAUACUCAUAUUGGGUGUCUGUCCACCAGUCUAAAAAACUGGUGUUAGCAAGGGCCGGGCAAGACCGGGGCCAGCCGCCGCGGUAAUACCGGCGGCUCGAGUGGUGGCCGAUAUUAUUGAGUCUAAAGGGUCCGUAGCCGGCUUGGCAAGUCUCUUGGGAAAUCCGGCAGCUUAACCGUCGGUCGUCCGGGAGAUACUACCUUGCUUGGGACUGGGAGAGGCGUGAGGUACUCAGGGGGUAGGAGUGAAAUCCUGUAAUCCUUUGGGGACCACCGGUGGCGAAGGCGUCACGCCAGAACAGGUCCGACGGUGAGGGACGAAAGCUAGGGGCACGAACCGGACUAGAUACCCGGGUAGUCCUAGCCGUAAACGAUGCUCGCUAGGUGCCACGACAAUCGUGAAUUGUCGUGGUGCCGUAGGGAAGCCGUGAAGCGAGCCACUUGGGAAGUACGACCGCAAGGUUGAAACUUAAAGGAAUUGGCGGGGGAGCACCACAACGGGUGGAGCCUGCGGUUUAAUUGGACUCAACGCCGGGAAGCUUACCGGGAUCGACAGUUGUAUGAAGGCCAGGCUGAAGACCUUGCCGGACUAUCUGAGAGGAGGUGCAUGGCCGCCGUCAGUUCGUACCGUGAGGCGUCCUGUUAAGUCAGGCAACGAGCGAGACCC
RNAcentral lists this ribosomal RNA (1055 nucleotides) under uncultured archaeon. RNAcentral's name for it is "bacterial SSU rRNA". It matches the Rfam family "Archaeal small subunit ribosomal RNA", at positions 1 to 1053 of the family's 1478-position model. The record is from RNAcentral.